GUUGGUAAAACGCCACUGGGGGUACACCUGUUUACAUUUCGAACACAGAAGUUAAGUCCAGUAGGGGCGAUGAUACUCUUAUGGGGAAAGUAGCUCUUUGCCAACA
RNAcentral lists this ribosomal RNA (106 nucleotides) under Candidatus Campbelliibacteriota bacterium. The record is from RNAcentral. Lineage: Bacteria; Candidatus Campbelliibacteriota.